GAUAGAAUUCUGAAACAUAACUUU
RNAcentral lists this small RNA (24 nucleotides) under Arabidopsis thaliana (thale cress). RNAcentral's name for it is "ATSL107840". The record is from RNAcentral. Lineage: Eukaryota; Viridiplantae; Streptophyta; Magnoliopsida; Brassicales; Brassicaceae.